AACACACAAAACAAGCGGUGAGUGCUUUGGGGUGGGGUGACUGCGUACCUUUUGUAUAAUGGGUCAGCGACUUAUAUUCUGUAGCAAGGUUAACCGUAUAGGGGAGCCGAAGGGAAACCGAGUCUUAACUGGGCGUUAAGUUGCAGGGUAUAGACCCGAAACCCGGUGAUCUAGCCAUGGGCAGGUUGAAGGUUGGGUAACACUAACUGGAGGACCGAACCGACUAAUGUUGAAAAAUUAGCGGAUGACUUGUGGCUGGGGGUGAAAGGCCAAUCAAACCGGGAGAUAGCUGGUUCUCCCCGAAAGCUAUUUAGGUAGCGCCUCGUGAACUCAUCUUCGGGGGUAGAGCACUGUUUCGGCUAGGGGGUCAUCCCGACUUACCAACCCGAUGCAAACUGCGAAUACCGAAGAAUGUUAUCACGGGAGACACACGGCGGGUGCUAACGUCCGUCGUGAAGAGGGAAACAACCCAGACCGCCAGCUAAGGUCCCAAAGUCACAGUUAAGUGGGAAACGAUGUGGGAAGGCUCAGACAGCCAGGAUGUUGGCUUAGAAGCAGCCAUCAUUUAAAGAAAGCGUAAUAGCUCACUGGUCGAGUCGGCCUGCGCGGAAGAUGUAACGGGGCUAAACUGUGCACCGAAGCUGCGGCAGCGACGCUUAUGCGUUGUUGGGUAGGGGAGCGUUCUGUAAGCCUGCGAAGGUGUCCUGUGAGGGAUGCUGGAGGUAUCAGAAGUGCGAAUGCUGACAUAAGUAACGAUAAUGCGGGUGAAAAGCCCGCUCGCCGGAAGACCAAGGGUUCCUGUCCAACGUUAAUCGGGGCAGGGUGAGUCGACCCCUAAGGCGAGGCCGAAAGGCGUAGUCGAUGGGAAACGGGUUAAUAUUCCCGUACUUGGUGUUACUGCGAAGGGGGGACGGAGAAGGCUAUGUUGGCCGGGCGACGGUUGUCCCGGUUUAAGCGUGUAGGCUGGUUUUCCAGGCAAAUCCGGAAAAUC
Molecule: ribosomal RNA, 991 nt
Filed under: Salmonella enterica
Lineage: Bacteria; Pseudomonadati; Pseudomonadota; Gammaproteobacteria; Enterobacterales; Enterobacteriaceae
Description: partial 23S ribosomal RNA
Rfam family: Bacterial large subunit ribosomal RNA
Source: RNAcentral